This 442-nucleotide ribosomal RNA is filed under the name uncultured bacterium. RNAcentral describes it as "partial 16S ribosomal RNA". It matches the Rfam family "Bacterial small subunit ribosomal RNA", at positions 338 to 795 of the family's 1533-position model. The record is from RNAcentral.
CCUACGGGAGGCAGCAGUGGGGAAUAUUGCACAAUGGGGGAAACCCUGAUGCAGCAACGCCGCGUGAGUGAUGACGGCCUUCGGGUUGUAAAGCUCUGUCUUCAGGGAAGAGUAGAAGACGGUACCUGACGAAUAAGCCACGGCUAACUACGUGCCAGCAGCCGCGGUAAUACGUAGGUGGCAAGCGUUGUCCGGAUUUACUGGGUGUAAAGGGCGUGUAGCCGGGUUGACAAGUCAGAUGUGAAAUCCUGCGGCUUAACCGCAGAACUGCAUUUGAAACUGUUGAUCUUGAGUACUGGAGAGGCAGACGGAAUUCCUAGUGUAGCGGUGAAAUGCGUAGAGAUUAGGAGGAACACCAGUGGCGAAGGCGGUCUGCUGGACAGCAACUGACGGUGAGGCGCGAAAGCGUGGGGAGCAAACAGGAUUAGAUACCCGAGUAGUC